Molecule: non-coding RNA, 132 nt
Organism: Armatimonadetes bacterium 55-13
Lineage: Bacteria; Bacillati; Armatimonadota
Source: Rfam
CCUCUACUUCAACCGAAUUGAGACAACCCACUCAAACGGGGGACCCAUUCCUUUGUGGGGCGAAUCGCAACCGCGUAGGCUGCUCUCAUGCCGAGCCCGUCAGCUAACCCCGUAGGCAAACCGAGAGAUCUG